GACAAAUUGUCUAGCAUAAGUGGACACUUUCUUCUGGGCCAGCAGUCAGUCCAGAACUAAAUUCUGAUGUAGUGCACAACUUUCUCUUUGCUUGUUCUCUCCCAUAACACUCUAAAGCUCUUUAUGCUCAAGGAAUGCUCUCCACAGACAGGAUUUUAUCUCUAUCUCUCAUCAAAACACAUUGAUCCUUACUUUAAGAUCCACUAAGCAGGUGGGAGAUGUGGACUUGGGACCUGACUGCAAAUCAAAUAAGUAGGGAUUUCAAGGUGGAUAGUGGAUAAUCACAGUGACAGCUCUGGCUUGUAGGCAGCCAGAGCACAAGGCACACAUGGUGACAGUAUGAUUAGAACAUAACUAAAUUAUUAAACAAGACAGUAGUUGAAGUAAAGUAGUCUUUUGGGACCACUACUUCUCACCAUCCACUAACAGUAAAACCAAGUACCCUGACAACUGUUUUAUGACAAGAAGAUAGCACCAGACUAAAACAAGGUAUACCUUGUUUUGUAAUGUUUACAAAACCAAAAUACAACUAAUUGUGCACCACUUAAUUGUGUGGGAAAGGUACUGGUAUAGCUGCCAUUAGGCUGUGGGAAAUUCCUCAUCUGUCAUUUUUUAGAACUGAUACAUUUUUUUAAAUGUGACAGUAUGGUCUAAGACAUGAAACAUUCAGGAAGAUUCUACAUGGUACUGUAUCACAAUAGGUUUCCCUCACCCUACACUCUUUUGAGUCUGGAAUUGAUCCUUCUGGUGAUGGAUGUAACCAGAGAUCUGCAAGAUUUGUAUACAUAGAAGGUACUUCAUCUCCUGCUGAGAGUUUGCUGGAAGGAGCAGAGGUUCCUUCUAGGUUUGCUUUUAAAAUCAACUAUCUAUAUGCUAUUCUUUUGAUUUCAUUUGUAUUUACUUGUUGGCAAAUGGGCUCUCAAUAACUUUGUUCCAUUACAGCUCGUCUGGUUGUUUCCAUUACCAAAGUCUAUGUUCCAGAGAGAAACCAAGCUCACUGGCAACCACGCAGUCUUCACAUGAAAAUUCAGAAGUACAUUUUUAAACUAUCCCAACUGCUUUCUUGCUUUCACUGACCAGCAAAUCCCUUAUUAUGAAAAAGAAGCAGACUUCUGAUGCUGAAGGACACCGUCGUCGUGUUUCUUCACUUCUUCUAGCUGAAUCAUUGGGAACUGUACUUGUUUUUCAAACCAUUUGGCUACUGUGAGCAGCUGCUUCUCUUGGAAUGAGCGCCCAAUGAACUGAAGCCCAAUUGGCAAGCCUCUUUCUGAAAGAGCUGUAGGAACAUUUACGGCUGGCAGUCCUGAAACAAAAGAAGUUAUGCGCACAAAGGCUUACUAUUAAACAAAUCCAGUUAGAGUCAUUUCUGUAACAAUUCUGAGAGAACCAGAGCAGCUCAGCAGCAUUUUAAAAUCUAGCCUUACAUCACAAAGCAUUUUACAAAUGCACUGUACUUAUGUGUAAAGUUGUUAACUUACUACUGUAAUUUAACGAGAGGGGUGAGGUAUCUCAAUUCUGUGUAAGAGCUCAAAAGGCUGAAGGGGAUGGAUGUUAUACGCAGGAGAAAACAUAGUUGAAUUCCUGUCUCUACUCACCGGCCAUGUUUGCAGCCUGUGUUAGGAUGUCAUCUUGCGUGCUGCGAGUUCUGUUGUCUUCUUUGAUGAAUUCCACAUAUGGGACUGCAUCGCUCAGAGUGAUAGGAGUGAGUAAAAUAUCAAUACCACUUCCAAAAACCUUCACAAAGUCAUUGGCAAUGAGACGUCUGACUUUCUGCGCUUUGACAAAGUAAUCCUCAUAAUUCCUAGAAAGAAAUAUGGGUGUGAGGGUGGAAUGCUAGAAUUCUGAGAAUACAGAACAAUUUCUUAGUUACUAUAAAAGAGAGAAGCUCUAUAUUCCUCCCGAUUAAGAGGCUAACAUGUAUUUGAGUUUCUCCUCUACCACAAGCUUAGUCACCAAACACAGUGUUUAUGUUCUCAGAGCCAUGAAGAUGUCAGAGAAAAAAGACAUAAGAAAAUUCUGUUGAAGUAAAGUGAAGGGAAAACAAAACCCUAGUUUAAGAUAGCUGAAGAUCAGAGUAAUGCUCUUAUGGCCUUUCUGAAACUAAACUGUAUAUUGGAUUUCACUGCAGAAAGGUAUAGUAAAGUCUAGAAAUAAUAUAGAAGGUUUGCAGAAUAGACAUUAAACUCUAGGAUUCAAUCCAGCAAGACACUUAAUGAAUGUGAAAAACUCCCCUGAUCUAUGCAGACAUCCAAAUGGACUUAAAACCAAGGAUGUGUUUCUAGUACGCAUCUUACUAAACUAUUAUCUUUCCUCAAUUUUUUUUCUCCUUAUAUUAAGUAUUGGGUUUACAGCUUUCUAAACUGUCUUUAUGCAAUUCUAAAGCAGAAACAAGUUCGUUAGCUUUAUGUUUACUGUUCUUUUUAAUUUCAUAUGUAGAAUUGGUAAACAUGUAACAGAAGUCAUAACUUCACAGUUUAGUUUCUAAAGCAAUCGCCAACAAUUACUCUUUAAAAGAAAAGGAAUAAAACACUGAUAAAUCAAACCUACUCGGUUAAUUCUGAUGCAGUGUCUAUAAGCAACCAUCAUUUCAUAAAUGAUCACAUGGUUAUUUUAUAAAAAGCAAGAGCAAAAUAUUCUGUAAAAGGCAAUGCUUACAGGAAACACAGAUGUUUGUACUUUGUUUGUCUCAAGAAUGCUUGCAGAACCCUGGAUUUUGUUCUUCAAGAGUAACUUACUGUUGACAGAAACAGGACUCUCUUGUUCAGUCCUGAUGGAACACAAUCCUAUGCUCCUUCACAAAAAAGUGAGCUGCAUGAAAUUUAAAGCAGUCUUUGGAAAGCUGACCUGGACAGUUGUGACCAGAAUGAGCAUACUUGGCAGGAAUAUCGGCAUUCCGUAAAAGCUGCUUCUUAUCUACUGACUGACAACAUUCCUGUCUCUGAGAGCAACUAGAAGUCUCUUCUGAUGAAUGCUGUUGCUGACAGAAGGAGCUUUAUCACGCACUUGUUUUGAGACAAAUUGCAGGACCAGUUUUUCUGUUAGUAUCUAAACAAAUUAAGUAGGACUCCUGCUUUCUCUCACAUACUAGGAUAGUAAAUAAGGAGUGAAAAUGGAGAUGAAAAAAGUUAAAUUGAUCCAUUCACCAGGUUCUCUACAUGAGUUGAAUUAAAAAAAAACAAACCUGUCUUCUAUAAAAACAUUAGUUCAGACAUCUUUGCCUUCUCCCCCUUGCAUACUAAGGCAGAGAGCUAUAGUUAAUUUAACUGCUGUAUCAUCUGCCUUGCUCUAGAAGACCUCAGCAGAAUGCACCAGCAGUUCUUCUAUGCAGCUUUAAUGAGAUUAACACCUACAGAACUACAAGAGGAUGGCUUUACUGUGAUUUCAGUGUCAUUCUACAGGAUAUAUACUUCCUUAUUUUAACUAUUAGGUGACAAUAAUCCUCUGUGGGGGGGGGG
This 3455-nucleotide long non-coding RNA is filed under the name Gallus gallus (chicken). The record is from RNAcentral. Lineage: Eukaryota; Metazoa; Chordata; Aves; Galliformes; Phasianidae.